This 733-nucleotide ribosomal RNA is filed under the name uncultured crenarchaeote. Its description in RNAcentral is "bacterial SSU rRNA". It matches the Rfam family "Archaeal small subunit ribosomal RNA", at positions 98 to 833 of the family's 1478-position model. The record is from RNAcentral. Lineage: Archaea; Thermoproteati; Thermoproteota.
ACGUAGUCAAUCUACCCUAUGGACGGGAAUAACCUCGGGAAACUGAGAAUAAUGCCCGAUAGAACAUUAUGCCUGGAAUGGCUUAUGUUUCAAAUGAUUUAUCGCCAUAGGAUGGGACUGCGGCCUAUCAGUUUGUUGGUGAGGUAAUGGCCCACCAAGACUAUUACAGGUACGGGCUCUGAGAGGAGUAGCCCGGAGAUGGGUACUGAGACACGGACCCAGGCCCUAUGGGGCGCAGCAGGCGAGAAAACUUUGCAAUGUGCGAAAGCACGACAAGGUUAAUCCGAGUGGUUUCUGCUAAAGAAACCUUUUGUCAGUCCUAGAAACACUAACGAAUAAGGGGUGGGCAAGUUCUGGUGUCAGCCGCCGCGGUAAAACCAGCACCUCAAGUGGUCAGGAUGAUUAUUGGGCCUAAAGCAUCCGUAGCUCGUUUUGUAAGUUUUCGGUUAAAUCCAUGCGCUUAACGUAUGGGCUGCCGGGAAUACUGCAUAACUAGGAAGUGGGAGAGGUAGACGGUACUCGGGAGGAAGGGGUAAAAUCCUUUGAUCUCUUGAUGACCACCUGUGGCGAAGGCGGUCUACCAGAACACGUUCGACGGUGAGGGAUGAAAGCUGGGGGAGCAAACCGGAUUAGAUACCCGGGUAGUCCCAGCUGUAAACUAUGCAAACUCAGUGAUGCAUUGGCUUAUGGCCAAUGCAGUGCUGCAGGGAAGCCGUUAAGUUGCCGCCUGGAA